This 225-nucleotide ribosomal RNA is filed under the name uncultured bacterium. RNAcentral's name for it is "partial 16S ribosomal RNA". It matches the Rfam family "Bacterial small subunit ribosomal RNA", at positions 524 to 748 of the family's 1533-position model. The record is from RNAcentral.
GACAGAGGGUGCAAACGUUGUUCGGAAUUACUGGGCGUAAAGCGCGUGUAGGCGGCCCUGCAAGUCGGGUGUGAAAUCCCACGGCUCAACCGUGGAAGUGCACUCGAAACUGCAGGGCUAGAGUCCUGGAGAGGAAGGUGGAAUGCUUGGUGGUAGAGGUGAAAUUCGUAGAUAUCAAGCGGAACACCGGUGGCGAAGGCGGCCUCUGGACAGUGACUGACGCUG